CUGGCUCUGCCCGCUCUGGCUGAGUGGCCCUUCCCAGCCCUGGUAGAACAGGGUGAUAUGGGGCCACGGUGGGCACCCUAUGGCAGCUGGAGCUCCUUUCCCUCAGGCCUCCUGAGUUCCUUAUGAACCUAGUGCUCAGUUGGUGCCAGGCUUUGUCCCCAGCACAAUGACAUAAACUAUUAACUUACCGAACGCUGACCGCACCAUGAUGAGAUGAGAACCUGCAGGACACACUCUGAACCCCGAGCACUGCUGAAGAGUGGACCCGGGAGGGAGGCUUUCCUGUCACCUGACUCAGUGGAGGCAGAGAGGACUACAGGUGGGCCCAGGUCCCACAGGCAUUCUAAGUCAUCGGGAGGUGAUUUAAAGCACACAGGAGGACGGCGGGGGCUGAAUGCAAAUACUCUGCCAUCUUACAGGAGGGAUUGAGCGUCCUCAGACUCGGGGGUCCGUGGGGGCGCUGGAGUCAAACCCACAGACACCAGGGAAUGACUGAAGUCAUCAGGAGCCUAUGGAGCCACCUCCAGUUCUCCUGAUGGCUUUUCAGGUCCCCGUUGCUGCCUCCCUGAGCUUCCACUUGUCCUGCCUUGGAGUCCUGGACACUCUGGCCAAGAAACCUCCUUUUCUGCUGGCGCUGGUUUGAGGAGGUUUCUCUUGCUUGCAAUUUUAAAGAGAGAGAGAGAGAACCCAACCUACAACAAAGUAAGGGUGACCCCUGUGAUCAAGAGCACUGUCCCAGCAAUGGGGGUUACCUGCACCCAGCCCCUAGAAAGGUGCCCCCUCUUAUGCUAGGAGCACAGAAAUCCUGGUCCUUUGUGGAGGUUUGCUGGGAUAAGUGGACAAGGCCUAGUGCCCCUGAGGGCCAAAAGGGGAAGGACCCAGGUUAGUGGACAAUGGAAACAUCCUACGAGGAAGUCGUGGAAGAUAUUUUGCCUCACGAAUGGUACCUAAGAGUGGAGGAGGGGACCAGGCCACCAAGGCCCCUGGCACCCACAGAGCUCUGGGGGUCUGGUCUCUGGCCGCACAGCCCCCAGCAGCUGUGUCCCCACCUGCCUCCCACUGCAGGCCUCUGCCUCUCUCUGCCUGAGGUUUUCCCUGGCCAGGGGAUUGUGCUUGUUCAAGCCUGGGUAGGCUGGCAGUGCCAGGGAGGCAGAGCCCCGCCUGUCCAGAGGACAGUUGGAGCAUAAACACCCAGGUCCCAGGUCCCUGGAGCAGGAUGAUUCUGUGCCAUCUACCCAGUCUCCCAAGCUCGUGGGAGGGAGGGAGCCUCAGCUGCUGCAGGUCCACCCACCUGCAGGACACUCCCGGCCUCCAGCCUCACUCCUCCAACCUCCUGCCUCUGCCUCUUGGGAUCAUCUCCCCAGUGCCAGCCACACUCAGCCUUGUCUCAAGGUGUCCUUCUGAUGUAACUUCAUCAAAGAUGGGGACAGAAAGGAUGGGGUGUGUCGAGAGCCCCUUAAAUGUGAGAUUGCGAGGUGGAGGCUGGGUUUCAACAGAAGUGACCGGGAUCUGUGUGUCCAGAGCCUGGACUCUGGGGUUGGGCUGUCUGGACGGGUGUGAUGACCACCUGCUGGUGAAGUGGAGAACGUCGUGGCAGCGCUGGCCGGGCUGCCGUGAAGGUGGAGUGCCGCUCUCAGCACAUGGACCCACUCAGGGGCUCAGCCGAAGCUCUGCGCAUGGCCGAGUGGGGGCCGCGGAAGCCUCCUCCUGAGUUCCUCGGUCCAGAGCGUGGGGUUUGUCCAGGCAGCCCCACCGGAAACCUCCAAGUCACCCUGGACCCCAUCACAUCCCCCAAGGCCUCCAGUAGCCAGUCCCCUGCUGCGGCCCUCAGUGCUCCUCCCACCCACAGACAUGAUCUCCACGAGGACAGGGGCCUUGACCUUGUUCGUUGCUGAAUCUCCUCUAGCUAGGACAGCGUCCUUCACACUGUCGAGUGGAUGAAUGGACACAUGCCUGAGUUUCACUGUCACAAGUGGGCUGGGCUGAGAGCAGCCUUGGUCCACCCCAGGACACACACAAACCUCCCCACGGGGCGGAACUGCCCCGGCGUGACAGCCUUUGCCAACCUUCUCUUUGUGCAGCCUCUUCAUUUCAGAACCCAGGAGCUUUUGUGAGCAAAAGGCCUCCAGUGUGCGUGCCACCAGAACCCAAGGGCCACCACCCCUUCCCCAGGUGGAGUCCAAGCGCGGUCGCCUGCCUCAGCCGGAGACCGGAAUCCUGAAGUAAUCGGGAUCUGGUGCCACAGCACCCAACACCUCCGUGUGCACAGCACGAGCUUCAUUUUUGUUGAUGGGGUGGGAUGACAAUCAAGUUGCUACUAAUAAUAGUUGCUUAUUACAUAUAAAUUUUUAAUUAUUUUAAUUAUUAAUGAUGCUAUAAUACUCAUC
Molecule: long non-coding RNA, 2387 nt
Organism: Sciurus carolinensis (gray squirrel)
Lineage: Eukaryota; Metazoa; Chordata; Mammalia; Rodentia; Sciuridae
Exons: 4
Source: RefSeq, a predicted model, not a curated record